This 1092-nucleotide ribosomal RNA is filed under the name uncultured bacterium. RNAcentral describes it as "bacterial SSU rRNA". It matches the Rfam family "Bacterial small subunit ribosomal RNA", at positions 439 to 1517 of the family's 1533-position model. The record is from RNAcentral.
AUUGGGAAGAAAGGUUGCGUGUUAAUAGCACGUAGCUGUGACGUUACCUUUAGAAGAAGCACCGGCUAACUCCGUGCCAGCAGCCGCGGUAAUACGGAGGGUGCGAGCGUUAAUCGGAAUUACUGGGCGUAAAGCGCGCGUAGGCGGUUUGUUAAGUCGGAUGUGAAAUCCCCGGGCUCAACCUGGGAAUGGCAUUCGAUACUGGCCGACUAGAGUACGAGAGAGGGAGGUAGAAUUCCACGUGUAGCGGUGAAAUGCGUAGAUAUGUGGAGGAAUACCGGUGGCGAAUGCGGCCUCCUGGCUCGAUACUGACGCUGAGGUGCGAAAGCUCGGGGUAGCAAACAGGAUUAGAUACCCUGGGAGUCCACGCCGUAAACGAUGUCUACUAGCCCGUUGGGAGACUUGAUUUCUUAGUGGCCGCAGCUAACGCACUAAAGUAGACCGCCUGGGGAGUACGGCCGCAAGGUUAAAACUCAAAUGAAAUUGACGGGGGGCCCGCACAAGCGGUGGAGCAUGUGGUUUAAUUCGAUGCAACGCGAAGAACCUUACCAGGUCUUGACAUCCUCGGAACUUGGCAGAGAUGCCUUGGUGCCUUCGGGAACCGAGAGACAGGUGCUGCAUGGCUGUCGUCAGCUCGUGUCGUGAGAUGUUGGGUUAAGUCCCGUAACGAGCGCAACCCUUGUCCUUAGUUGCCAGCGCGUAAUGGCGGGAACUCUAAGGAGACUGCCGGUGACAAGCCGGAGGAAGGUGGGGACGACGUCAAGUCAUCAUGGCCCUUACGACCUGGGCUACACACGUGCUACAAUGGAACGCACAGAGGGUUGCAACCUCGCGAGAGUGAGCCAAUCCCACAAAACGUUUCGUAGUCCGGAUCGGAGUCUGCAACUCGACUCCGUGAAGUCGGAAUCGCUAGUAAUCGCGGAUCAGAAUGCCGCGGUGAAUACGUUCCCGGGCCUUGUACACACCGCCCGUCACACCAUGGGAGUGGGUUGCUCCAGAAGUGGUUAGCCUAACCUUCGGGGGGGCGAUCACCACGGAGUGAUUCAUGACUGGGGUGAAGUCGUAACAAGGUAGCCCUAGGGGAACCUGGGG